This 7061-nucleotide long non-coding RNA is filed under the name Prunus persica (peach). RNAcentral's name for it is "long non-coding RNA (PPER_LNC000101)". Lineage: Eukaryota; Viridiplantae; Streptophyta; Magnoliopsida; Rosales; Rosaceae. The record is from RNAcentral.
UCCUAUAAAAGGGCACACACUUACACCAAAUUUGUACCAUCCACAGUAUCAUUCACUAGCUAUACCUUAACAAUAAUGUCUCUCAAAUUCCUGCUGGUGGUGUCCCUGUGUGUGCUGGUUGUCACCACUUGUUCUCUUGCUGAUCAUGAUCACCAUAAACCACCACACAAUAGUUAUUAACCAAAACUGAUAUCUCACAUUGAAUUGUAUCACAAACUAGUUCAAUAACCAUGUAUAUAUUUUUUUGUUUUCUGGUUAUUGUAAUCUUAAAUUUCCAUCUUUGCUAUCGAAUCACGUUUGGCAUCAACAGAUUCAAUACUGGUUUAAGUGUGAGUCUAAAUAUUUAUAUAGUGGGAUAACUAGUGAAAAUGAGUUCACAAUAUCCAUCCUUAAAUACAAAGAAACUGAAGAUUUUACAUCUUCAGGAAUAUUCGUCAGCUUGUGUAGAAAAGCAUAUGCUAAAGAGUAGCUCAAAGUAGAGGUGUCAAAUAGAUUAGGCUAGCCUGAGCACAUCAUGAGUUCAGUUCAAUUAAAUAAAACGCAAUACACUAUGUUUUGUAUUUUUAGAUGGAUCAAAAUGACCCAAUUCAAUUCAAUUGGCCGAGUCGGCCAGAGACCCGUUGUGGGUCGUGCUGGCCUAAAGUCCAACGGGCCGGCCCAUUUAAAUUUGACAAUGGAAGCUACGAAUACGGGGUUCAACAGAAAAAAAAUUCCCCAAUCUUACUGCCUAUGAGCAGUGUGAGUUAAAUGAUCAUUACAUCACCAAUUAUGUCUUUGUCAUGGACUAACUGGUGGACAUUGUGACGGAUGUGGAAUUGUUUCCUGAGAGUGGAAUCCUUGAAUCUAAGCUACUAGAUUGCGAAAAAACAGCAAAAUUUAUUAACUCCUUGACUUCGACAUUAUUCAAUUCAGUAGAAAAUCUUAUUUCGCCAAUCUUUGCGACGAAUUGAAUAACUACUAUAAAGAGCGUUGGCACCAUUGGAAGUAGAGUGUCAAACAGGUCGGGCCGGCCCAAGCAAGGUAUGAAUUUGGGCUGACUGUGUACGGCUUGACACAACAUGACUAGUAUUUUUGGGUGGGCCAUGAUGAGGAAAUUUGGUCCAAUGGGUUAAGCCUACUCGAAGCCCAACGGGCCGGCCCAUUUAAAGCUCAUUUAUUAAAUUAUAUUUAUUUUAGAGAAAAUUAUUACAUAAUAUUAUUAUAUUUGUAUAUUAAAUUCAAGUAUGUUUCUUUUUUCUAAUAAUAUAUUUUAAAAUACAAUGUUUUUUCUUUAUAAAUAAAAUCAUUAUUUUUAUUUUUCAAUUUUUUAAACCGAACAAUAAUCUAGUUAUUUUCUAUUUUAAUGUACUUCAAAUAAGUCAUUCGCUUUUUUUUUUUUUCAACAAAUAAUAAAUCUUGUUAGUAUAUACAUAUUUAUAAAUAAAAUAUAAAUAAAAUUGACAAAAAAAUGCAAUUGACACCUCAAGCUCAAAUGUAACAGACAAAAGGAGAGUAUAAAUGGCUGAUCAACUUGGCGAAAUAGCUAGGGAUAGAAAGGGGAAAGGGCUAAACUUAAUUAGGUAGCAAAAUGAAACUUGGCAACGAUAACAAUAAUAGAAAAGGAAAAGGGGAAAGGAAGGAAGUAAAAAGUUAGAAAACACAAAGAAAAAGCUAACACUAAUAUAUUCAAAAAGUAUAUGGAAAAAGUAUAAUUAAAAAAAAAAAAGAAAAAAAAAAGGAACCCAAUAGUCAAGGUUCAUUUUCAAGGAAUGUGAAAAUGGUACUUGGGCGAAAGGGGUAAAUUUAAACUAUAACUAGAGUAUAGAAGGAUAGAAUAAAUACAAUGUUCUUGAACAAUAUAUGACUAGUCAGCAACUGGUCAUGGACUUGAGAUUAAUAUACACAAAAUCACACGUACAUACAACAAACAAUUAUCAAGUCCUUAUAGACCUAGAAGAAAACUAGGUGACAACCUAAGCACUUAGAAGCACUGGUGGACCCAGAAAUUUUUUAGCGGAGGUGCAAUAUUGACUAAGUAUGAAAAAUGGUUUUUUGGAAUAAUCAUUUUCUCAAGAUAAUUUUUGGCGGCUUUUAUUCCUUACACAUCAAAUAAGAAAACUUGAUUUUAUGGGAUUUUAGUAUGAAGUAUAUAUUUACUUAAUGAGCUAUCAUUUUUAGCCUAAAUCAUAUUUUGCACUAAAACCGAAUUUUCAUUUUUUGAUUUGGUGGGAAUUUGAUUUUCUAAUAUUUUUAUUUGAAUCCAAAUAGGGGGUACUUCCUUAUUUACAUUGUAAACUUAAGUAAAUGGAGUAAUAUAAAAAUAAAUAAAAGUAAAUGGACAAAGACAUUUACUUAAAUGUUGGAAAUAGAAAUAAAGUAAUCUGUACACCAGUUGAGCAAAGGAACAAUUUGAAGCACCUACAAUGAUUUUUCCGGUUAGGGGAGGUGCAGUCUACCAGUGCUUAGAAGGAUCCAUCCAUCAUCUAGGCGUUUUAUAUGCUUGGUGAUAUGUGUGUCAGCAUGCAUUAAAUCUGAAAUAGGAAUGAAUAACAAAAGAUGAUUAGGUAGCAAUAUGAAAUAGCUAGGGAUAAAAAGGGGAAAGGGCUAGGUAGCAAAAUGAAACUUGGCAACGAUAACAAUAAUAAAAAAGGAAAGAAGAGGGGGGGAGGGGGGUUGGUUUCAAAAGACAAAGAAAAAGCUAACACUAAUAUUCAAAAAGUAUAGGGAAAAAGGAAAAAAAAAACGAAAGGAACCAACUAGUCACAAAGAAGGUUCAUUUUCAAGGGAGGAAAAAGAUGUAGAAUGUAUUGCGUAUAUGCUUUUUUCGUUAACAAUAUUAGCCCCCCGAUGGUUAAAAAAAGAUUUCUGUUUUGUAAAGAGGUUCUCUUAAAAGAAAGCCGAUUGCCAUAUUAUACAUAAUUAAGAGGUAGAAUUUGAUUGUCGACAUGCUUAUAAUAUUAACUUUAUCCAUAAAACUUUACCAAAAGGUGGAUAUGCCAUCCGGUUAAUGCAGGAAAUUAGACUGUCUUUAGUUUUGUACCUAUCUAAUUUGCAAUUACGUGUUGAUGUAAAACUCAAAUUGAUGCACCAUACGUUGUAGAUAGACCAGACGUUAAUAGACCAUGUAUACGUGUUUAUCUUUUUUAUCAGGGUCAUGAUGCUAGAUCUGUAUCCUUGAUUGUUCGUCAAUCCCAUGGUCUUUUGCAAAUGGAGAAGCAAGACCACUGCGUAGAAAUUAAGAGAAGCUUCAUCCUUGGUGCUUAUAAUUAUAAAGAAGUGUUAGGGUCAUCAGGGAUUGUUGACAAGUUCAUAUGAUUUGUUAGUGUUUCAUUUUCAAAUAUAACUUUUUAUAUGUAAAGAACUUCUAUCUCAAGUGGUUAAGAGCAGUUACCCUAUAUUUAAGGUCCUGUAUUCGAACUCCUACCCUAAUAUUUUAGUUGCGACAAUAGAGAAAGUGAGAGUCGAACACACAACAAUAAGUGAAAGAAUGCUCUUAAUUACUUUAUUCACAAAUUUGUUACAAUUUCACCUAAUAAUCCAACUUUUCAACUCGAUUGGUGGGCUGCGAAUGGUCCUAUCACUCUAUAAUUUAUGUAUCUGUAACUUUCCCAAGAGAAUUUACAAACUUUGGUCUAUAUAGAAAUCAAGUGCACAAACACAAGUGUCCUGACAUUAUUGGCCUCCAGUCCUAUAAAAGGGCACACACUUACACCAAAUUUGUACCAUCCACAAUAUCACUCACUAGCUAUACCUUAACAAUAAUGUCUCCCAAAUUCCUGCUGGUGGUGUCCCUGGGUGUGCUGCUUCUCACCACCUGUUCUCUUGCUGAUCAUGAUCACCAUAAACCUCCACAUAAACCACCACACAAGCCACCUCCUUUGGAAGCAGAAAACUCCGUUGAAUUGGAUGGCAAGCCUCCUAAGGGUCCGAGACCACCCCCAAAGCACAGGCCGCCAACACCGCUUGAUAAUGAGGCAGCAGUGCCAUUGAAGGAUGUCGAAGCCUCGUACAAGCCUCCAGGGAAGAAACCACCACAUAACCCCUACAAGCCACCCUACAAACCUCCUCCAUCAAACUAAGUGCAUGCAUGCCUAGCUAACUAAUUAUAUGUAGCUAGCUAGGUUAUUAUACAUCGACGUGUAUAAAAAAUAAGAGCUGCAUCUGCAUGCAUGAUGAUGUAAUAUUACUCUGUUAUUAGCUUUAUUUUACUACUACUGCUACUAGCUUAAGUUAUUCAUGCUGGAGCCCGUUUGUUGUUGUUAUGCACUUGUAUUUACUUACCAGUCAUGAGCACUGGCGAGUAGAUACAAACUUUAUAUAUAAAAAAAUUAAAUAAAUUAUGAUUGAUCAUAAUUCUAGUCGUGUCGAAUUUACUACUGAAUAAUGAUCAUAAGAGCCAAAUCAGAAAAAAUAAAUUUAAAAGCAUGUUACAAAAAAGAGGGAAAAAAAGAAGAAACGAAUUGGAGUUUUGGUCAAGAAGAAAAAAAAAAAAAAAAACCCAGCACAACAAACUUACGUUUUGGUGAAGAAGGAAAAAAAACGCAGCAAUAGCUGCGCAACCCAAUUGAUUUCUUUGUUUUUAAAAUCUUUUUGUAAUCCUUGUUUAAAUAAGAAAGCAAAACAUGUUUAAAGACUUUUGAAAGCCAACGAAAUGCAGGGCUAAGCAUGUUGUUGAAAGCCCGUAAACUGCAGUUUGCCUCCUCUUAAGUUUUUUUUUUUUCUCUGACCCAAAACGACGUCAUUUUGGCCAGGACUUUUAAAAAAAAAUUAGGCGUGCAGGCAGCAACGCAACGCAACAAAUAGACUUUGGUUGAGUCAUUUUGUCGAACACCUGGAGUGCACCACCACGAGCCGAGUAGAGGUGUAAUUUGAAGUACCUACAAUGGUUUUUCCGGUAGGGGGGAGUACAACUGCACCUUAUUGCGACUUAAUAGGUUAGUCACUGGUCAUGAGCAUGAAACAUACUCAACUUCAUGUUUAGCUAGCUUUUUAAUAAAUGUACUUACUACGUACUCUUGUGUAAUUUAAAAGAUGUAUCAUUAUAAUAAAUUAUAUAUAUAAGGAGUUUCAAUUGAGAGAUUCUCUAAAUAACGUUAUUUGAAAGAUAUUCUCGACUUUCUUUGAGCAAUACUUUGACAUUUCCAUUUGGCUAAAAACAGAAUGGAGUUAAAGGAUAUUGUAUACUAUAAACAAAUUGACACUUCUGUACAAUACGAUUGCGUACUUUUUAUGUUUAGAACUGAAAUCGAAUAAUUCACAUUCUUUAAUUGGAUUGUAUAUAAGAGUAGGGUCAUGGCGUAACUCUUCACCCCAUCGGAGAAGAUUGAAUGUAUGUCCAGAACCGAAAUUGUAAGUAACCCAAAUCAAUUCAAUUUGGGUUAGGGUUGGGGUUGAACCCAAAUUCAGUCAUUCGUUUCUUUGUUUCUUGUAUUUAUUUUCUUUAUAAGCUUUCGUUGCUUUGUUGUUUAAGCCCAAUAUUUCACAGGCUUGGCCUUCUUUUCUUUAAGAAAUUUUUUCGAACUUUUCUGCUUGAAACUAAUGAAAAUUUUGAACUUGUUGCCAAAAGAAAAAAUAAUAAUAAACUCUGCGAUGAUUAUCUUUGUAUCUUUAACUUUUUUCUUUUCUUUUUGGAGAUAAACUUUCUUUGUGUCUAUGAUGUGAGACACAGACACAAAGAAAGUCGGAGUAACGCACUAGAUAUAUACAGUUUGUCGCUAGACCAAAUUCCUACACUUGUCUCGACCAAAAAAAAUUAAAUUCUACACUUGAAAAUUAUAUGUACUGGUUUUUAUCUUUUUCAGCUAUGCGUCCUAAGAUUGGUCAUUUGCUUAUUAGUGGUUAAUUAUUGCAACUUCCCAAGAACCUGUUCCCAGUGCAACUUCUGUUGAUAAUCCAGCUUAACAACUAAAUUGGUGGAUUCUAAAAUGGGAGAUGAAAUUGUAUGUCACAGGGAUAACACUGUUUUGUUAUUAUUAUCCAAUUACGUUCUGUCAUGUAAAAUUCUUAUUAUGUAUGAAAGGACGUGAUUGGUUGGGAAUAACAAAAUAAUUUUAUACCUGUGAUAUACAAGUUUUUCUCCUAAAAUGGGCUAAGCAAAACAACAAAACUAUUUCCUAAAUUUGUCCACCAAAUUUUGUGUCUAAUAUAUGUUAAAAUGUCUUAUUUGUUGGAAAUAAAUAAAAUUGAAAAUGAUUCUUUCGUCCCGAAAAAGACUUGUUUAAAUUACGAUAAAUGAAUAAAUGUAGCAAUAGCAGUUACUUCUGCACCCAGAAUCUUGUGUUCUUCCCUCCUGAAAUAUUGACUUGUAUAUAAGAAAGAAGAGUAAAUAUGAACGCCUAUAUUAAUUAUAUUACUAUAUCCAAAAUGGAAAAAGAUUGGCUCCUUCAAAUUGAAGAGGAGUUCCUCCUUACAAUCAAUUAAUGUGUUUUUGACACGGGUCAAAUUAUUUUAUUUUAUUUUAUUUCUUGAAACUUUGUUAAUAUUGCUCGAAUUUGACAAGUCUCAAAACUCCAUUGAUUUUAAGGAGAAGCUCCUCCUUAAUUUUGAAGGAGCCAUGCUGAUUCAAAAUUCUCUGAUGGGAAAUGAGUGUCGUGGGAGGUAAGUGAGUGCCGAAUUCACAACUCACAGGAAAAAACCCAUACAUCAACUGCCUUUAUAUGUGGUCUAGAGUUGUUACCUCUUAUAAAAAAGAAAGACCAAGACUUCUAGUUUUGCACCAUCUAGAACUCAAUGCUCCAACUAGCUAGCUGGCCAUACAAUGUGUCCUAAAUCCCUGCAAUUGAUGUUGCUGCUCCUUGGUCUGCUUCUUCUCACCACUUGUAUUGGUGCUGAUCACCAUAGACCACCACAGAAGCUACCAAUUUAUAAGCGUCCUCCUCCUUUGGAAGCAGCAAACUCCCUUGAACAAGAGUUGCUGCCAUUUGGUGGCAAACGUAAGAGACCAAUGUCACCGCCCCCGAAGCACAAGCCACCUCCGCCCCAAAAACACAAGCCGCCGCCACCACCUACACCAAAACUCAACCCACACCCACCCCCAACCUCAGCCCACACACCAGCCCCAAACUUACGCCACACACAAACCU